This is a non-coding RNA of Delphinapterus leucas (beluga whale), 222 nucleotides long. The record is from RefSeq and is a predicted model, not a curated record. Lineage: Eukaryota; Metazoa; Chordata; Mammalia; Artiodactyla; Monodontidae.
GUGUUAAUUUAUCUCCUUGUGGCUCCCAUUCAGUUGCAGGCUUCGGGAAAAGCAUGAGUUUCCUUGAGCGCUCCAUGGUCUACAGGCUGGGGAUUUUCUGGUUUCAUGGAAUGGAAGGGGCAGCUCUUAGGGGAUCCAGGCUCCAUGAAGAAGUCCCUGGUCCAGCUUCCCACCAGCUAUGGCCCAGCACCACAUCUUUAGUCCACGUGCAGGUUGAGAAGC